RNAcentral lists this ribosomal RNA (681 nucleotides) under uncultured Peptococcaceae bacterium. Its description in RNAcentral is "bacterial SSU rRNA". It matches the Rfam family "Bacterial small subunit ribosomal RNA", at positions 9 to 646 of the family's 1533-position model. The record is from RNAcentral. Lineage: Bacteria; Bacillati; Bacillota; Clostridia; Eubacteriales; Peptococcaceae.
GAGUUUGAUCAUGGUUCAGGACGAACGCUGGCGGCGUGCCUAACACAUGCAAGUCGAACGGUUUCAAUGUUCGAACUUCGAAUUUCGAGCUUCGAACAUCGAGAUAGUGGCGGACGGGUGAGUAACGCGUGGGUAACCUACCCAACAGACCGGGGCAACACUUGGAAACGAGUGCUAAUACCGGAUAACCUAAGACACUGGCAUCAGAGACUUAGGAAAGGUGGCCUCUAUAUAAAAGCUACCGUUGUAGGAUGGACCCGCGUCUGAUUAGCUAGUUGGUGGGGUAACGGCCUACCAAGGCGACGAUCAGUAGCCGACCUGAGAGGGUGAACGGCCACACUGGGACUGAGACACGGCCCAGACUCCUACGGGAGGCAGCAGUGGGGAAUCUUCCGCAAUGGACGAAAGUCUGACGGAGCAACGCCGCGUGUAUGAUGAAGGCCUUCGGGUUGUAAAGUACUGUCUUUGGGGACGAAUGGUCACUAUGAAAAUAUUGUAGUGACAUGACGGUACCCAAGAAGAAAGCCCCGGCUAACUACGUGCCAGCAGCCGCGGUAAUACGUAGGGGGCAAGCGUUGUCCGGAAUCAUUGGGCGUAAAGGGCGCGUAGGCGGAUAGUUAAGUCCGAUGUGAAAUACCAGGGCUCAACCCUGGGGCUGCAUCGGAAACUGGUUAUCUUGAG